CGAGCGGGGGUAGGGAGCUUGCUACUGGUCCUAGCGGCGGACGGGUGAGUAAUGCUUAUGAAUCUGCCUAUUAGUGGGGGACAACAUCUCGAAAGGGAUGCUAAUACCGCAUACGUCCUACGGGAGAAAGCAGGGGAUCUUCGGACCUUGCGCUAAUAGAUGAGCCUAAGUCGGAUUAGCUAGUUGGUGGGGUAAAGGCCUACCAAGGCGACGAUCUGUAGCGGGUCUGAGAGGAUGAUCCGCCACACUGGGACUGAGACACGGCCCAGACUCCUACGGGAGGCAGCAGUGGGGAAUAUUGGACAAUGGGGGGAACCCUGAUCCAGCCAUGCCGCGUGUGUGAAGAAGGCCUUAUGGUUGUAAAGCACUUUAAGCGAGGAGGAGGCUACUGUAAUUAAUACCUAUGGAUAGUGGACGUUACUCGCAGAAUAAGCACCGGCUAACUCUGUGCCAGCAGCCGCGGUAAUACAGAGGGUGCGAGCGUUAAUCGGAUUUACUGGGCGUAAAGCGUGCGUAGGCGGCUUUUUAAGUCGGAUGUGAAAUCCCCGAGCUUAACUUGGGAAUUGCAUUCGAUACUGGUGAGCUAGAGUAUGGGAGAGGAUGGUAGAAUUCCAGGUGUAGCGGUGAAAUGCGUAGAGAUCUGGAGGAAUACCGAUGGCGAAGGCAGCCAUCUGGCCUAAUACUGACGCUGGA
Molecule: ribosomal RNA, 693 nt
Filed under: Acinetobacter baumannii
Lineage: Bacteria; Pseudomonadati; Pseudomonadota; Gammaproteobacteria; Moraxellales; Moraxellaceae
Description: bacterial SSU rRNA
Rfam family: Bacterial small subunit ribosomal RNA
Source: RNAcentral